UUGAACCUAAGACGGUACACUUCCUAUUGACUGACAGAAACUUCUCAGGGAUGUUUCCACUCUGCUCUGGAUUACUCUGAACUGGGUCAUGUGCACAUCAUUAGGACUGACUCUGGGUGAUAGGGGUAGAUUCAGCCUUCCAGGACCCAGACGGAUGGAUGUUGGCAAGCUAACUCAACGACUGCAUCAUGAAAUCCUUUUUGUAUUAACCAUUUUGGUCUAUAGUGGUGCUUUCCAACUCAGGCUGCCUGCUAGCAUGACCUGGUCAUGAUAACCUGUGAUUCCAAUUAAAGAUUUUUUAAAAAAGAGAAGAGUUCAGCCCUUCAAGUAUUGGUUUGCCCUCCUUAAGCCAGAGCAGCACCCUUGAUGAUGGCGUAGCUAGAAUAUGCAAGGAGCCUGGAUCCUGGAGUCACUAUCAAAGGACAACUUCAACGGGAGGACUUCUGGACUGUAUGGAACAUGAAAUAAAAGUUGAUUGUGUUAAG
Zalophus californianus (California sea lion) is the source of this 485-nucleotide long non-coding RNA. RefSeq lists it as uncharacterized. The record is from RefSeq and is a predicted model, not a curated record. The transcript is spliced from 3 exons. NCBI's taxonomy places the organism in Eukaryota, Metazoa, Chordata, Mammalia, Carnivora, Otariidae.